CAGCCGCCACGGUAAAACGAAGGGUGCAAGCGUUAAUCGGAAUUACUAGGCGUAAAGCGUGCGUAGGCGGUUUGUUAAGUCUGUUGUGAAAUCCCCGGGCUCAACCUGGGAAUGGCAAUGGAUACUGGCAAGCUAGAGUGUGUCAGAGGAUGGUGGAAUUCCCGGUGUAGCGGUGAAAUGCGUAGUGAUCGGGAGGAACAUCAGUGGCGAAGGCGGCCAUCUGGGACAACACUGACGCUGAGGCACGAAAGCGUGGGGAGCAAACAGGAUUAGAGACCCCCGUAGUCCCUGUCUCUUAUCC
RNAcentral lists this ribosomal RNA (301 nucleotides) under uncultured bacterium. Its description in RNAcentral is "partial 16S ribosomal RNA". It matches the Rfam family "Bacterial small subunit ribosomal RNA", at positions 509 to 809 of the family's 1533-position model. The record is from RNAcentral.